GAUGAAGAACGCAGCGAAAUGCGAUAAGUAAUGUGAAUUGCAGAAUUCAGUGAAUCAUCGAAUCUUUGAACGCACAUUGCGCCCGCCAGUAUUCUGGCGGGCAUGCCUGUUCGAGCGUCAUUUCAACCCUCAGGCCCCGCCUGGCGUUGGGGAUCGGCGCGGCCCUCUCCGGGCUGCCGGCCCCGAAAACUAGUGGCGGUCUCGCUGUAGUCCUCCUCUGCGCAGUAGCAACGCUCGCACUGGAACUCGGCGCGGCCACGCCGUAAAACACCCCACUUCUGAAAGUUGACCUCGGAUCAGGUAGGAAUACCCGCUGAACUUAAGCAUAUCAAUAACGGAGGA
This 342-nucleotide unclassified non-coding RNA is filed under the name soil metagenome. Its description in RNAcentral is "partial contains 5.8S ribosomal RNA, internal transcribed spacer 2, and large subunit ribosomal RNA". The stretch from base 1 to 120 matches the Rfam family "5.8S ribosomal RNA", at positions 35 to 154 of the family's 154-position model. The record is from RNAcentral.